RNA transcript from Brassica napus (rape), 1852 nucleotides. RefSeq lists it as uncharacterized. The record is from RefSeq and is a predicted model, not a curated record. NCBI's taxonomy places the organism in Eukaryota, Viridiplantae, Streptophyta, Magnoliopsida, Brassicales, Brassicaceae. The transcript is spliced from 3 exons.
UCUCAGCGUUAUUAUCAUUGCCCUGGCAUGAAGAGGGAUGUUGCUUCAUUUAUAUCGCAGUGUCAGACGUGUCAGAUGGUCAAGGCCGAGCAUCAGGUGCCUAGCGGGUUAUUGCAGAACCUGCCAUUGCCAGAGUGGAAAUGGGACAUGGUAACUAUGGAUUUUGUGACGGGGUUGCCGACGACCUUAGGAGGAAAGAAUGCAAUAUGGGUAAUCGUGGAUAGACUUACCAAGUCAGCCCAUUUUCUAGCUAUUAAGAAGACGGACAGAGCUGAUCAGUUAGCACAGACUUACAUCAGCGAGAUUGUGAGAUUGCAUGGAAUUCCUGUCAGCAUUGUAUCAGAUCGAGAUACAAAGUUUACGUCCGAAUUUUGGAGAGCCUUCCAGAAGGCGCUUGGGACGAAAGUGCAUAUGAGUACGGCUUAUCACCCGCAGACAGACGGUCAAUCAGAGAGGACUAUUCAGACCUUAGAGGAUAUGCUCAGGGCUUGCGUCUUAGAUUGGGAGGGUAGUUAGGUGAAGUAUCUACCUCUAGCCGAGUUUGCCUACAACAACAGCUAUCAUUCGAGUAUUGGGAUGGCACCAUAUGAGGCUCUAUAUGGUAGGCCUUGUCGCACACCACUUUGUUGGACAGAAGUGGGGGAGCGGCGUGAGAUAGAACCAGCUAUGGUUCAAGAGACGGUAGAGCAAGUUGAGAUGCUCAAGGUUCGGCUUAAGGAAGCCCAUGACCGUCAGAAGAGUUAUGCAGAUAAGCGGCGUAAGGAUUUGGAGUUCCAGGUUGGCGACCUUGUAUACCUGAAAAUGAGGACAUUUCAAGGAGGAUCUAAGACUCGGAAGCUGAACAAGCUUAAACCAAGAUAUAUGAGACCAUACCCGAUUUUGGAGCGAAUUGGAGCAGUUGCUUACCGAUUGGAUUUAUCGGAAGAGUUAUCAGACUUCCAUGACGUGUUUCAUGUUUCGGUUUUAAGGAAAGUCGUGAGAGAACCAGAGCUCAUUUUGCAACAGCCGCCCAGUGACCUUGAUAGAAAUUUGCGUGCGCCGUGUCAGCCAGUGGAGAUAUUGGAUCGCCAAGUGAGAGCAGAUAAUGGUAUGAUGACCAUGUUGGUCAAAGUUCGUUGGGAGAGAAACGGGAUUCUGGAGGAGACCUGGGAGUCUGAGCCGCACAUGAGGAUUGAUUAUCCAGAACUUUUUCGGGAUGAUGUUGGGCAGUAAGUUCUUGACUCGAAUUCGGGACGAAUUCCUUAUUAGUGGGGGAGAAACUGUCACGACCUAACUUCUCCACUCCACCAACUCCACCCAUUAACACAUCUAUUAAACCCACCUUCUCCACUAUGUCACCUGCAAUUAAAAUAAAAAAAAAAUCAGAGAGAAGAGAAGAGUAGAGAAGAGAAGGGAAGAGAAAAGAAGAGAAGGGGAGGUGAGAAGAAGGAUUCGGAGAGGUUGAGGUCGUCACCGGAGUUCGUUAUAGCCUCUGCACCCCGUGACCGUGUUGAGCUCGCCACCACCGUUAAUCGCAGAUUUGGAGUCCAUUUGAGCAGUUGGAGUUCAUAGAUACCACUCCUCUUCCUUGCUAAGGUGAGAUCAAUGAGCAGGAGUGAUCCUAUCAGACUUGGGCUUCUUGGUGCUAUUUGGGGCUUUUGGGCUUUUACUACUAUCGGGCUUUGGACUUCUAUCACUCUUUUCGUUUUAUCGCUUUUGGGCAUUUGAGCUGCUAUCUAUCGCUUAUGUUUAUUUCUCAUUUCAAACUUUUGGUUUAUGUCGUAUUUUAUAUUUCGGAUGUUAUCGUUAUCGGGCCUUUUGGCCUUAUGCUAUCGUAUUGACUUUUAUAUUAUGAUGGAGAUUAUUAUUAUUA